AGAAUCAACGCUGGCGGCGUGCCUAACACAUGCAAGUCGAACGAGAAAGUGGUAGCAAUACCAUGAGUAAAGUGGCGCACGGGUGAGUAACACGUGACUAACCUACCCUUGAGUGGGGGAUAACUGAGGGAAACCUUAGCUAAUACCGCAUAAUACCCACGGGUCAAAGGAGCAAUUCGCUCGAGGAGGGGGUCGCGGCCGAUUAGUUAGUUGGCGGGGUAAUGGCCCACCAAGACGAUGAUCGGUAUCCGGCCUGAGAGGGCGCACGGACACACUGGAACUGAAACACGGUCCAGACUCCUACGGGAGGCAGCAGUGGGGAAUUUGCGCAAUGGGGGAAACCCUGACGCAGCAACGCCGCGUGGAGGAUGAAGUCCUUCGGGACGUAAACUCCUUUCGAUCGGGACGAUUAUGACGGUACGGAAGAAGAAGCCCGGCUAACUUCGCGCCAGCAGCCGC
Molecule: ribosomal RNA, 459 nt
Filed under: uncultured bacterium
Lineage: Bacteria
Description: SSU rRNA
Rfam family: Bacterial small subunit ribosomal RNA
Source: RNAcentral